AUCCAGGAAUGGGAAUCGAACCCACAUUGUUCCGCUUACCGGGCAGAUGCCAUGUCCACUAGGCUACCCUGGA
Molecule: transfer RNA, 73 nt
Filed under: Cordylochernes scorpioides
Lineage: Eukaryota; Metazoa; Arthropoda; Arachnida; Pseudoscorpiones; Chernetidae
Description: tRNA-Thr
Source: RNAcentral